UAAUUGGAUAACAACCUUGUUAAAUAA
RNAcentral lists this small RNA (27 nucleotides) under Bombyx mori (domestic silkworm). RNAcentral's name for it is "ovarian small RNA-19930". Lineage: Eukaryota; Metazoa; Arthropoda; Insecta; Lepidoptera; Bombycidae. The record is from RNAcentral.